UACGGAGGGUGCAAACGUUGCUCGGAAUCAUUGGGCGUAAAGCGCACGUAGGCGGUUCGGUAUGUCGGAUGUGAAAUCCCUCGGCUCAACCGAGGAAGGGCAUCCGAAACUGCCGAGCUUGAGUACGGAAGAGGGUCUCGGAAUUCCCGGUGUAGAGGUGAAAUUCGUAGAUAUCGGGAGGAACACCAGUGGCGAAGGCGGAGACCUGGGCCGAUACUGACGCUGAGGUGCGAAAGCGUGGGGAGCAAACAGG
RNAcentral lists this ribosomal RNA (253 nucleotides) under uncultured bacterium. Its description in RNAcentral is "partial 16S ribosomal RNA". It matches the Rfam family "Bacterial small subunit ribosomal RNA", at positions 524 to 776 of the family's 1533-position model. The record is from RNAcentral.